GGGGAUUUAGCUCAGUGGUAGAGCGCUUGCCUAGCAAGCGCAAGGCCCUGGCUUCAGUCCCCA
RNAcentral lists this transfer RNA (63 nucleotides) under Rattus norvegicus (Norway rat). It matches the Rfam family "tRNA". Rfam says of the family: Transfer RNA (tRNA) molecules are approximately 80 nucleotides in length. Lineage: Eukaryota; Metazoa; Chordata; Mammalia; Rodentia; Muridae. The record is from Rfam by way of RNAcentral.